UACGUUCCCGGGCCUUGUACACACCGCCCGUCACGUCAUGAAAGUUGGUAACACCCGAAGCCCAUGGCCUAACCGGUUUUUGCCGGGGGGAGUGGUCGAAGGUGGGAUUGGCGAUUGGGACGAAGUCGUAACAAGGUAGCCGUACCGGAAGGUGCGGCUGGAUCACCUCCUUUCUAAGGAG
This 181-nucleotide ribosomal RNA is filed under the name Streptococcus sp. HMSC034F03. RNAcentral describes it as "partial 16S ribosomal RNA". It matches the Rfam family "Bacterial small subunit ribosomal RNA", at positions 1367 to 1533 of the family's 1533-position model. Lineage: Bacteria; Bacillati; Bacillota; Bacilli; Lactobacillales; Streptococcaceae. The record is from RNAcentral.